GAUGAACGCUAGCUACAGGCUUAACACAUGCAAGUCGAGGGGCAGCAGGGAUUUAGCUUGCUAAAUCCGCUGGCGACCGGCGCACGGGUGCGUAACGCGUAUCCAACUUUCCCGUUACUCAGGGAUAGCCUUCCGAAAGGGAGAUUAAUACCUGAUGGUGUUUGAAAUUCGCAUGUUCUUCAAACUAAAGAUUUAUCGGUAACGGAUAGGGAUGCGUGACAUUAGAUAGUAGGCGGGGUAACGGCCCACCUAGUCUACGAUGUCUAGGGGUUCUGAGAGGAAGGUCCCCCACACUGGAACUGAGACACGGUCCAGACUCCUACGGGAGGCAGCAGUGAGGAAUAUUGGUCAAUGGUCGGAAGACUGAACCAGCCAAGUAAGCGUGAAGGAAUGAAGGUUCUAU
RNAcentral lists this ribosomal RNA (403 nucleotides) under uncultured bacterium. RNAcentral's name for it is "bacterial SSU rRNA". It matches the Rfam family "Bacterial small subunit ribosomal RNA", at positions 28 to 420 of the family's 1533-position model. The record is from RNAcentral.